AACGUAGUCGUUCUCAGCAACACGGUCCAAAAAGUCAGUGCAGCGAAAACGGACGAUCCGAAGAAGAAUACUGAAUACCCUUUUUCAUUUCUCUCUCUCUCUCUCUCUCUCUCUCUAGAAUAAUCUUCUUCUUCUACCAUUUCUCACUAAUAACUCAUCAGUAAGACAAACCUCGUUUUCUACAUUUCACCAUUUUUCUCUUCAAUUCACUCUCACAACCUUUUCUCUCUUCAGUAAAUAUAACGCUUUAUUAUUUUUAUUUUCUUAUUAUUUUUCACUCUCUUGUUUUUGUAUUUUAUGUACUCGGCGAUCUUCAGGAUCAGCUUGAUCUUAAUAUAAAUGGGAAUCUUCUAGAACAAAACCCAGAGGAAAAAAAGAAAUUGAAGACCUGAAACUCUGACAGGUGAAAAUAAAGAAUAAAUAAAAAAAGAUAAAACUCUUUUUUUUUUAUUCCUCUCCCCAGUUUUUUGUUGUUUCUGUUAUUGGAUUAUGGCUGUUGCUGAGAAUGCCGGGGCCAAAAUCGGUGCUUCAAGUGAAGAUUUGGAAAAAAGUGUAGUGUCAUCUGACUCAAAUGCCCCAAACGAAGAACUGGAGAAACCGAAACCCCGAAAUGGUUCUGUUGGAAACGGUGUAGAGACCGAUCAGAAUCUCAAUGGUGUUGAUGGCGUUGCAGCCACUGUCUCAGUCCCUAACGGCAAUCACAAACCCCAAAUGGGUCAGAUGCAAAAUGGUUUGGACACAAACGGUGGUGGUGUCCAGGGGCAGCAGGUUGUGGCGAACAAUGGCGGCGGCGGAGGUGGUUUUAAGAUGGGCCAUCAGAUAGGUAAUGGAGUGAUGAAUGGAGGAGAGGACGGCGAGAGCUUCAAACGCGAAAUGAGGGAUUUGGCUGAGCUCUUGUCAAAGUUGAACCCUAUGGCUGAGGAGUUUGUGCCCUCUUCACUUGCAAAGAAUCAUGGGUACUUGCCCGGAGCUGGAGGGUUCGGUUUCCCUAACAAUUUGCUACUUCCUGCAAAUUUUGGCAAUGCUAAUGGACAGCCUAAUAGAAGGAGAAAGAAUGGCUACAAUAACCAGGGGAAGCAAAGAGCAAAUCAUAAAAUAGAAAUGGAGAGACGGGAAGAGAUGAUUAGGAGGACUGUUUAUGUCUCCGAUAUUGAUCAACAAGUCACUGAAGAGCAACUGGCAGCUCUCUUUCUUAACUGUGGCCAGGUUGUUGAUUGCCGUGUAUGCGGGGAUCCAAAUUCUAUUCUUCGUUUUGCCUUCAUUGAGUUUACGGAUGAAGAUGGUGCAAGAGCUGCUUUGAACUUGUCUGGCACCAUGCUUGGAUAUUACCCGGUGAGAGUGCUGCCAUCUAAAACUGCCAUUGCACCUGUUAAUCCGUCAUAUUUGCCCAGGUCUGAAGAUGAAAGGGAGAUGUGCUCAAGAACUAUUUAUUGCACAAAUAUUGACAAAAAGGUUACUCAAGCUGACGUUAAACUCUUCUUUGAAUCUCUUUGUGGAGAGGUUCAACGCUUGAGGCUUCUUGGGGAUUACCAUCAUUCGACUCGAAUUGCAUUUGUCGAGUUCACAAUAGUUCCUUUUAUCAUCUAGGCUUUGUACGGCUCAACUUACAUUUUUUCCCCCCACGUAUGAUGCAUCUAUGGAGUUGGAUUUUGUUUCUCGCUUGGGUGUUCUUGGCCUAUUUGUCCCUAGUCAAUGUAGUAUGUGCAUAAAGAUUGUAAGCUUUAUAUCACUGAUAUUGUUUAAAUGCUGAAAGUGCAAUUGCUGCUCUGAACUGUAGUGGUGUGAUUUUGGGUACGCUGCCGAUAAGGGUAAGUCCAUCGAAGACACCAGUCCGUUCUCGUGCACCUCGUGGCUCAGUGCACUGACUCAUCACUCAUCAUUCCAUGUCUUUUGGUGUUCAUUGCUGCUCAGAUAUCUUUACAUAUAUACAUACAACAAAUAUUUCCUAAGGUACCUGUGGCGAUUAGUUGUGGUUAAAGUCCGGCGUUAUGCUAUCCUUGUUUCCUGCUUGGGAGUUAUGGAUAUUGUGUUUAGUUCGUAGAGUUGGAUGGGGCCUCAAGAGGAUCUUAAUGGCUUAAUUUAUGACAAUGUGACUGUUUAUCUCGAAAUGAGACACUUUUGUUGUUCGAAGUUCCUCGCGCACUGGAAUUUCUUGAAAAAGAAACUAGUUACAAGGCUUUGUUCCUCGUUAGCUGUUAAUGUGGUUACCACAAUCUUUUUUUGAGUUUUUUUUUUUAAAUUUCAUUUCUUUCCUGUAUGCUAGUGUUUUACCCCUUUGUCUACAUUAAAUUAGUUAAUUAGCUUA
This is an RNA transcript of Arachis stenosperma, 2305 nucleotides long. It is a transcript of the gene named polyadenylate-binding protein-interacting protein 12-like, with no coding region annotated. The record is from RefSeq and is a predicted model, not a curated record. NCBI's taxonomy places the organism in Eukaryota, Viridiplantae, Streptophyta, Magnoliopsida, Fabales, Fabaceae. The transcript has 12 exons.